CCUACGGGUGGCUGCAGUGGGGAAUAUUGGACAAUGGGGGCAACCCUGAUCCAGCCAUGCCGCGUGUGUGAAGAAGGCCCUCGGGUUGUAAAGCACUUUCAGCGAGGAAGAACGCCUGGUGGUUAAUACCCAUCAGGAAAGACAUCACUCACAGAAGAAGCACCGGCUAACUCCGUGCCAGCAGCCGCGGUAAUACGGAGGGUGCGAGCGUUAAUCGGAAUUACUGGGCGUAAAGCGCGCGUAGGUGGCUUGAUAAGCCGGUUGUGAAAGCCCCGGGCUCAACCUGGGAACGGCAUCCGGAACUGGCAAGCUAGAGUGCAGUAGAGGAAGGUAGAAUUCCCGGUGUAGCGGUGAAAUGCGUAGAGAUCGGGAGGAAUACCAGUGGCGAAGGCGGCCUUCUGGACUGACACUGACACUGAGGUGCGAAAGCGUGGGUAGCAAACAGGAUUAGAUACCCCAGUAGUC
RNAcentral lists this ribosomal RNA (465 nucleotides) under Vreelandella stevensii. RNAcentral's name for it is "partial 16S ribosomal RNA". It matches the Rfam family "Bacterial small subunit ribosomal RNA", at positions 338 to 795 of the family's 1533-position model. Lineage: Bacteria; Pseudomonadati; Pseudomonadota; Gammaproteobacteria; Oceanospirillales; Halomonadaceae. The record is from RNAcentral.